UACGGAGGGGGCUAGCGUUGUUCGGAAUUACUGGGCGUAAAGCGCACGUAGGCGGCUUUGUAAGUUAGGGGUGAAAUCCCAGGGCUCAACCCUGGAACUGCCUUUAAUACUGGCAAUCUCGAGUCCGAGAGAGGUGAGUGGAAUUCCGAGUGUAGAGGUGAAAUUCGUAGAUAUUCGGAGGAACACCAGUGGCGAAGGCGGCUCACUGGCUCGGUACUGACGCUGAGGUGCGAAAGCGUGGGGAGCAAACAGG
Molecule: ribosomal RNA, 253 nt
Filed under: uncultured bacterium
Lineage: Bacteria
Description: partial 16S ribosomal RNA
Rfam family: Bacterial small subunit ribosomal RNA
Source: RNAcentral